GGAGCUUCAAUAUUCUUUAUCUG
This 23-nucleotide non-coding RNA is filed under the name Cricetulus griseus (Chinese hamster). Lineage: Eukaryota; Metazoa; Chordata; Mammalia; Rodentia; Cricetidae. The record is from RNAcentral.